This 4047-nucleotide long non-coding RNA is filed under the name Gossypium barbadense (sea-island cotton). RNAcentral describes it as "long non-coding RNA (GBAR_LNC008479)". Lineage: Eukaryota; Viridiplantae; Streptophyta; Magnoliopsida; Malvales; Malvaceae. The record is from RNAcentral.
UUUUUUUUUUUGAAAUAUCAUUAAAUAAUUGAAAAGAGAUACAACAUAAAUGUAGCAUUCUUGUUGCAUUCAAUCUUUCCUCGAGAAGAAAUAAUAACUUUUAAGAAAAAACAGGCACCGUAGUUUCAACAAAUAGGAAAAAAGAAACAGAACGAAGCCCUCAAUACAACGAAUAUCUGUUGCCAUAAAAGAAGAACUAAAGACCCCAAAGCUUUUAGAAACUAAGGGUGGGUUUGGAUAGAUGAUUGGGUACGAUGCGGUGUGUUUAGCUUAUUUUUUGUCUCAUGCUACGAUAUUGCUACAGAAUCUAAUCUCACCGCUACCGCUAUUUUUAUACUAACUGCAAGUAAACGCACCACCCAUCCAAAAUCACACUAAAACUCAAAACAAGAUUGUAGAAACCUUCCUAUUAUAAAAAGGAAAAUAAAAGAAAAAACCUAAUAUUUAAUACUUACUGUAGCGACGUAAAAAUUUUAGCUUUGGUCGCUAAUUGUGGCGAUUUAUUAAAUAUUUGAAAAUCGACUUUUGGUUUUAUAAAAAGGAGUCGCCACCGAUCCUUUUUCUAGGUGUGAUCGGACACCUAAUAAAUCAUUUUUAAAACAAAAAGAAGGUCGAGUUUAGGUUUACAUUAAAAUCUAGAGAAAAAGUAGGAUUCGGGAGUCGGUUACGUGCGAGGAAGGUAUUAGCACCCUCGCGACGCCCAAAAUUGCUAUCUUGUAAAACACGUGUUGUCUUGAUUUUCAAAAAUAUGAGUUUAAUGUAAGAUUUAAUCGUGAUUCGAUUGAAACACAAGAAUUUUCAAUUUUUUUGAACUUUGAGAAGGAUAUACCGUCUUAACACGAGCCGACAAAAUCCAUCCAACAUAGCGAUGAAAUUCGAUGACUUAAUGUUAAAUCGGUACAGUGCCUCGAUUAUUAAAAUUAAUUAAACAAGAAUAUGAUUUUCGAGGUAAUGCAAAGCAAACUGAUAUGGAAUAAAAAUAAACAAGAGAGUCGGAAAUAUAUUGAAGCAAAAAAAAAAUAUGACAACAAUAUUAAAAGAAAAUAAUAAUGGUGCAUGCGAGAUUAAAUGUAAUAAUAGUAUCAAAUAUGGGAAAACAAUGAAUACACAUACAUAAAAAUGAUAUUAAGAACAUGUACAUCAAAACACAUAUAUAUAUAGGUGAUAAUAGUGUUAAAGAUAUAUUAUAUAUAACAUUUGAAUAUAUACUUGAGAUAGUAAAAACAUAACUUGUAAUGUUAAAAUAUAUACGUAAUAUUUACAUAUAUAUAAAAUAAAUAUUGAAAAAUACAUACACAUAAGAAAUAUAUACACCAAUACGUAUAAUAAUAUUAUAAAAAAAGAAAAUAAUACAAAAUAUUGAAAUGAAAUAAUGAAAACUACUAUGUAUACAUAUACACAUAUAUAAUGAAAUAUAUAAUAGUAUUAAUAACAAUAAUAAGCAUAAUAUAAAAAAAACAUAUAUGAAAUAGCAUGAGAAAUAUACGAAUUAGUAUAUAAAACUAACUAAUAGAGUAUAUACAUAUGAUAUAUUAAAAAGUGUAUGUACACGAUAUAUAAAAAAAUGUAUGCAUACAAAUAUAUAUACAUAAGAUGAUAUAGAAAUAUGUACAUGGAAUGAAAGAUGUUUACAUAAUAGUACUAAAUAUAGGUACUAAUAUAUAUAUAUACAUACAUAAUAUAGUUAAAAUGAACAUAUACAACAUAUAUUAGAAAUAUUAAUAACAGAAAAAUAUAUUAUAUACAUAUGCUAACGAUGCUACAUAAAUAUGUACCUAUAUGCAUUAAAAAAUCUAUAUAUAUAAUGGACAUGUACUAAUAAUGAUAAUAAGAGUAAUAAUAAUAUAUACAUGAUAUACACAUAAAUACAAGGUUUAAAAGGCAUGUAUAUUCGUAAUAUAUAUAAAAAAUACGUAUAUAAUAUAAUAUUAAAACAUUUACAUAAUAUGUAUACACACAUAAUAAAAAAAACAUACUAAUAUUAACAACAAUACUAAUAUUACAUAAAGAUACACCUAUAUAUAUUAGAGAUAUAUACAUAUAUAAUGAAAUACAUGAAUAAUACGAUAUUAAAAAAUGUAUACAUGAUAUGUAUAAUAAAAAUAAUAAUAUACAUAAUGUAAGAAUAUAAGAGUAUUAAAAAUAUAAAUAAAAAUGGUGAAGAAACGAGUAAAGAUAAUAUACAUAAGAAUAAGAAAAUAUUAUAAUAAAUACUAAAAAAUAUCUAUAUAUAUACAUAUAUAUGCAUGUAUAAUGACGAAAAAAAUAAUAAUAAUAGUGAAAAUUAUAGAUAUAAUAAUAAUAGAAAUGAUAAUACCAUAUGAAAAGUAUAUAUACAUACACAUAUACUAAAAUACAUACUAACAUUAAUAAUAAAUAUAAUAUUAUAAUACUAAUAAUGAUAACAUGAAAUCAAAGUAACUAAAAAAGCACUAUAUAUAAGUAUAUACAUAUGCAUAUGUAAGGAAAAUAUAUACUUAAUAUAUAAAAAUAAUAUUAAGUAUCAAUAAUAUAAUGAUAAUAGAGAAAUUAAAAUUACAAAUUUUAUUUGAGAGCAAAAACGACAAAAAAAGGACGAAAUUGAUAUCAAAAUAGAAUUUUUGGGGCGAAAUUAGAAAUAAAAUAGGACACGGGGCCAAAUUGCAACGCGCGCAUGACUUAGAGGGACCAAGAGCACAAUAUUCCCAAUUAUUAAGACGCUGCACAGUAGGAGGGGCCAAUUUAUAAAACAGAUUAAAUUUCAGGGCCAAUUUAUAAAUAAAUAUAAACUACAUUGUAGAACACUUAAAAAGCGAAAGGGUCAUUCGCGCAAUUAGACCUUUCCGCAAAAACACGCAGAUCCUAGCCCCAAUGGGUCGGGUAAUCGGAUUACCCCCAAAACGACGCCGUUUUGGGCGCGUUUGGGGGUCUUUCAAAACGCCGCCGUUUUCUUAUAUUAUAAAAGUAAAAAAAAAAAUUCUAAAAAUUUCAUUUUUCUUCUUGUUUCAGAAAAAAAAAGAAAGGGGCUCUCUCUCUUUUCUCUCUUGCUCCAAGACCUCUGGUCGCCGGGCCUAUCACUGUCCGCCGUGCCGGCCACCGUCGCCAAAGGUAAUUUUUCUUCUUUUUUUUGUAUUUACUAUACAUAUUUAAGUAGAUCGAUAGAUUCAAAAAAAAAAAAAAAGUAAAGGAAUAAAAGAAAAUAAGAUCACCUCAAGUUUUCGGAUUUUUGACUUUUGAUUCUCUGGUUCGUGUUAUACUCGUGUUCUUUUCUUAUAUUUUCUUUGAUUCACUGCUUCCAUGUGUGUAUUGAAAUUGUUUCUUUUCAUUCCUUCCAGAUCCGAACCCACAACCCUUUUUCCAUUCGGCUUUUAUAGCCUUAUUUACAAGUUAUUUUCUAUUAUAUCUGUCUUUUCGUUUCACUGGUUGCAGGUGCAAGUUGUUGGAGAGGUGGUGGAGACUUGACCGGUGGAGCAGCGCUGGUCAGAUGGCAGAGGCAAGUGGGGAGUGGUUGCGGCUAGGGAGUAGGUUAGGGUUAGCUUUAGGGUUUCUUUUUCUUUUUCUAAUUUGGGCUUCUAUGUGGGGUUUGGGUAUUAGGUUGGUAUUGGGCCGAGGGUGGAUUAAAUGGUUUAAGGGGUUUGGGUUGUAAAAGGGUUAAAUGAUAUUGGGUUUGCUGUAUUGGGCUAUAAAUGGGUAGUUAGGUUUAAUUGUAAUGCAAUUGGGCUUUGUGGGUCAAAUUGGAUUAUGGGUUAGUUGGUAUAUAGGUGGGUUAUUUUGUAUUCGGGCUUUGUGUGAUGUGAACUGGCCCAAAAUUAGCUUAUAACACUUUUACUAUAGAGUAAAUUUUAUUCUCAUUACUCUAAUUUUGAGGAACAUUUUAUUUAAAUUAUUUGAGUUCAUUUAUGUCUAAAAGUUUGAACGAAUUUGAUGAUAUGUCCCUUUUGUCUUUUCUUACGUUGGUCUUGAAGUGAAAUUUCUUAAAAAUCAUACAUAAUUAUUUAAGCUUAGUUUGAAUUACCAUUCUCAAAUUUUGGAUAAAUUCAUUAAUAUUUACAAAUAUUUAUCUUCAAC